UGGGGAAUAUUGGACUAUGGUCGCAAGCCUGAUCCAGCCAUGCUGCGUGAGUGAUUAAGGCUCUAGGGUUGUAAAGCUCUUUCACCGUUGAAGAUAAUGACGUUAACCGUAGAAGAAGCCCCGGCUAACUUCGUGCCAGCAGCCGCGGUAAUACGAAGGUGGCUAGCGUUGUUCGGAUUUACUGGGCGUAAAGCGCACGUAGGCGGAAUAUUAAGUCAGGGGUGAAAUCCCGGGGCUCAACCCCGGAACUGCCUUUGAUACUGGUAGUCUUGAGUGCGAGAGAGGAGAGUGGAAGUCCGAGUGUAGAGGUUGAAUGCGUAGAUAUUCGGGGGAACACCAGUGGCGAAGGCGGCUCACUGGCUCGAUACUGAAGCUGAGGUGCGAAAGCGUGGGGAGCAAACAGG
Molecule: ribosomal RNA, 404 nt
Filed under: Actinomycetes bacterium
Lineage: Bacteria; Bacillati; Actinomycetota; Actinomycetes
Description: Actinobacteria bacterium partial 16S ribosomal RNA
Rfam family: Bacterial small subunit ribosomal RNA
Source: RNAcentral